UACAGAGGGUGCAAGCGUUGUUCGGAAUUAUUGGGCGUAAAGGGUGCGUAGGCGGUUUGGUAAGUCUGAUGUGAAAUCUAUGGGCUCAACUCAUAGUCUGCAUCGGAAACUGCCGGGCUUGAGUGUGGGAGAGGUGAGUGGAAUUCCUGGUGUAGCGGUGAGAUGCGUAGAUAUCAGGAGGAACACCUGUGGCGAAAGCGGCUCACUGGACCAUAACUGACGCUGAUGCACGAAAGCUAGGGGAGCAAACAGG
Molecule: ribosomal RNA, 253 nt
Filed under: uncultured bacterium
Lineage: Bacteria
Description: partial 16S ribosomal RNA
Rfam family: Bacterial small subunit ribosomal RNA
Source: RNAcentral